UACGUAGGGAGCAAGCGUUGUCCGGAAUCAUUGGGCGUAAAGCGCGCGUAGGUGGCCACAUAAGUCCAUUGUGAAAGUCAAAGGCUCAACCUUUGAAAGCCGAUGGAUACUGUGUGGCUAGAGUACGGAAGAGGCGAGUGGAAUUCCUGGUGUAGCGGUGGAAUGCGCAGAUAUCAGGAGGAACACCAAUAGCGAAGGCAGCUCGCUGGGACGUUACUGACACUGAGGCGCGAAAGCGUGGGGAGCGAACAGG
RNAcentral lists this ribosomal RNA (253 nucleotides) under uncultured bacterium. RNAcentral's name for it is "partial 16S ribosomal RNA". It matches the Rfam family "Bacterial small subunit ribosomal RNA", at positions 524 to 776 of the family's 1533-position model. The record is from RNAcentral.